This 67-nucleotide transfer RNA is filed under the name Colaptes auratus. RNAcentral's name for it is "tRNA-Cys". The record is from RNAcentral. Lineage: Eukaryota; Metazoa; Chordata; Aves; Piciformes; Picidae.
AAGUCCCGGUGCACUCUUAAUGCACAUCAAUGAGUUUGCAACCCACCAUGAAUUUCACCACAGGACU